GCGCGAAAACUUUACAAUGCUGGCAACAGCGAUAAGGGAACCUCGAGUGCCAGGUUACAAAUCUGGCUGUCGAGAUGUCUAAAAAGCAUUUCAUAGCAAGGGCCGGGCAAGACCGGUGCCAGCCGCCGCGGUAACACCGGCGGCUCGAGUGGUAACCGUUAUUAUUGGGUCUAAAGGGUCUGUAGCCGGCCGGAUAAGUCUCUUGAGAAAUCUGGCAGCUUAACUGUCAGGCUUUCAGGAGAUACUGUCUGGCUCAAGGCCGGGAGAGGUGAGAGGUACUUCAGGGGUAGGGGUGAAAUCUUGUAAUCCUUGAAGGACACCAGUGGCGAAGGCGUCUCACCAGAACGGACCUGACGGCAAGGGACGAAAGCUAGGGGCACGAACCG
Molecule: ribosomal RNA, 386 nt
Filed under: uncultured bacterium
Lineage: Bacteria
Description: bacterial SSU rRNA
Rfam family: Archaeal small subunit ribosomal RNA
Source: RNAcentral